UACGGAAGGCAGCAGUGGGGAAUAUUGCACAAUGGGCGCAAGCCUGAUGCAGCCAUGCCGCGUGUAUGAAGAAGGCCUUCGGGUUGUAAAGUACUUUCAGUCGUGAGGAAGGUGUUAAGGUUAAUAACCUUAGCAAUUGACGUUAGCGACAGAAGAAGCACCGGCUAACUCCGUGCCAGCAGCCGCGGUAAUACGGAGGGUGCGAGCGUUAAUCGGAAUUACUGGGCGUAAAGGGCACGCAGGCGGUUAAUUAAGUUGGAUGUGAAAUCUCCGGGCUUAACCUGGGAAUGGCAUUCAAGACUGGUUAGCUAGAGUCUUGUAGAGGGGGUAGAAUUCCAUGUGUAGCGGUGAAAUGCGUAGAGAUGUGGAGGAAUACCGGUGGCGAAGGCGGCCCCUGGGACAAAGACUGACGCUCAUGUGCGAAAGCGUGGGGAGCGAAACAGGGAUUUAGAU
This 453-nucleotide ribosomal RNA is filed under the name uncultured bacterium. RNAcentral's name for it is "bacterial SSU rRNA". It matches the Rfam family "Bacterial small subunit ribosomal RNA", at positions 340 to 783 of the family's 1533-position model. The record is from RNAcentral.